AGAUUAAGUUAUUAAGGGCGCACGGUGGAUGCCUUGGCACUAGAAGCCGACGAAGGACGUUACUAACGACGAUAUGCUUUGGGGAGCUGUAAGUAAGCUUUGAUCCAGAGAUUUCCGAAUGGGGAAACCCAGCACGAGUUAUGUCGUGUUAUCGAUAUGUGAAUACAUAGCAUAUCUGAAGGCAGACGCGGAGAACUGAAACAUCUUAGUACCCGCAGGAAGAGAAAGAAAAAUCGAUUCCCUGAGUAGCGGCGAGCGAAACGGGAAGAGCCCAAACCAACGAGCUUGCUUGUUGGGGUUGUAGGACACUCUAUACGGAGUUACAAAAGAACAGACUAGACGAAUCAUCUGGAAAGAUGAAUCAAAGAAGGUAAUAAUCCUGUAGUCGAAAGUUUGUUCACUCUUGAGUGGAUCCUGAGUACGACGGAACACGAGAAAUUCCGUCGGAAUCUGGGAGGACCAUCUCCCAAGGCUAAAUACUCUCUAGUGACCGAUAGUGAACCAGUACCGUGAGGGAAAGGUGAAAAGUACCCCGGAAGGGGAGUGAAAUAGAACUUGAAACCGUGUGCUUACAAGUAGUCAGAGCCCGUUAAUGGGUGAUGGCGUGCCUUUUGUAGAAUGAACCGGCGAGUUACGAUUUGAUGCAAGGUUAAGCAGUGAAUGUGGAGCCGUAGCGAAAGCGAGUCUGAAUAGGGCGUUGAGUAUUUGGUCGUAGACCCGAAACCAGGUGAUCUACCCAUGACCAGGUUGAAGUUCAGGUAACACUGAAUGGAGGACCGAACCGACUUACGUUGAAAAGUGAGCGGAUGAGUUGUGGGUAGCGGAGAAAUUCCAAUCGAACCUGGAGAUAGCUGGUUCUCUCCGAAAUAGCUUUAGGGCUAGCCUCAAGUGAUGAUUAUUGGAGGUAGAGCACUGUUUGGACGAGGGGCCCUUAUCGGGUUACCGAAUUCAGACAAACUCCGAAUGCCAAUCAAUUUAACUUGGGAGUCAGAACGCGGGUGAUAAGGUCCGUGUUCGAAAGGGAAACAGCCCAGACCACCAGCUAAGGUCCCAAAAUAUAUGUUAAGUGGAAAAGGAUGUGGCGUUGCCCAGACAACUAGGAUGUUGGCUUAGAAGCAGCCAUCAUUUAAAGAGUGCGUAAUAGCUCACUAGUCGAGUGACACUGCGCCGAAAAUGUACCGGGGCUAAACAUAUUACCGAAGCUGUGGAUUGUCCGUAAGGACAAUGGUAGGAGAGCGUUCUAAGGGCGUUGAAGCAUGAUCGCAAGGACAUGUGGAGCGCUUAGAAGUGAGAAUGCCGGUGUGAGUAGCGAAAGACGGGUGAGAAUCCCGUCCACCGAUUGACUAAGGUUUCCAGAGGAAGGCUCGUCCGCUCUGGGUUAGUCGGGUCCUAAGCUGAGGCCGAUAGGCGUAGGCGAUGGAUAACAGGUUGAUAUUCCUGUACCACCAUUAUUCGUUUUAAGCGAUGGGGGACGCAGUAGGAUAGGCGAAGCGUACGAUUGGAUUGUACGUCCAAGCAGUGAGAUUGAGUGUUAGGCAAAUCCGGCACUCUUAAGAUUGAGCUGUGAUGGGGAGAGGAAAUUGUUUCCUCGAGUCGUUGAUUUCACACUGCCAAGAAAAGCCUCUAGCUAGAAUUGUGGUGCCCGUACCGCAAACCGACACAGGUAGUCAAGAUGAGAAUUCUAAGGUGAGCGAGCGAACUCUCGUUAAGGAACUCGGCAAAAUGACCCCGUAACUUCGGGAGAAGGGGUGCUCUUUAGGGUUAACGCCCAGGAGAGCCGCAGUGAAUAGGCCCAAGCGACUGUUUAUCAAAAACACAGGUCUCUGCUAAACCGUAAGGUGAUGUAUAGGGGCUGACGCCUGCCCGGUGCUGGAAGGUUAAGAGGAGUGGUUAGCUUCUGCGAAGCUACGAAUCGAAGCCCCAGUAAACGGCGGCCGUAACUAUAACGGUCCUAAGGUAGCGAAAUUCCUUGUCGGGUAAGUUCCGACCCGCACGAAAGGCGUAACGAUUUGGGCACUGUCUCAACGAGAGACUCGGUGAAAUCAUAGUACCUGUGAAGAUGCAGGUUACCCGCGACAGGACGGAAAGACCCCGUGGAGCUUUACUGUAGUCUGAUAUUGAAAUUCGGCACAGCUUGUACAGGAUAGGUAGGAGCCUGAGAUACGUGAGCGCUAGCUUACGUGGAGGCGUUGGUGGGAUACUACCCUCGCUGUGUUGGAUUUCUAACCCGCACCAUUUAUCAUGGUGGGAGACAGUGUCAGAUGGGCAGUUUGACUGGGGCGGUCGCCUCCUAAAGAGUAACGGAGGCGCUCAAAGGUUUCCUCAGAAUGGUUGGAAAUCAUUCGUAGAGUGUAAAGGCAUAAGGAAGCUUGACUGCGAGACUUACAAGUCGAGCAGGGUCGAAAGACGGACUUAGUGAUCCGGUGGUUCCGCAUGGAAGGGCCAUCGCUCAACGGAUAAAAGCUACCCCGGGGAUAACAGGCUUAUCUCCCCCAAGAGUUCACAUCGACGGGGAGGUUUGGCACCUCGAUGUCGGCUCAUCGCAUCCUGGGGCUGUAGUCGGUCCCAAGGGUUGGGCUGUUCGCCCAUUAAAGCGGUACGCGAGCUGGGUUCAGAACGUCGUGAGACAGUUCGGUCCCUAUCCGUCGUGGGCGUAGGAAAUUUGAGAGGAGCUGUCCUUAGUACGAGAGGACCGGGAUGGACAUACCUCUGGUGUACCAGUUGUCGUGCCAACGGCAUCGCUGGGUAGCUAUGUAUGGACGGGAUAAGUGCUGAAAGCAUCUAAGCAUGAAGCCCCCCUCAAGAUGAGAUUUCCCAACUUCGGUUAUAAGAUCCCUCAAAGAUGAUGAGGUUAAUAGGUUCGAGGUGGAAGCAUAGCGAUAUGUGCAGCUGACGAAUACUAAUCGAUCGAAGACUUAAUCAAAUUUUA
RNAcentral lists this ribosomal RNA (2929 nucleotides) under Staphylococcus saprophyticus. RNAcentral describes it as "bacterial LSU rRNA". It matches the Rfam family "Bacterial large subunit ribosomal RNA". The record is from RNAcentral. Lineage: Bacteria; Bacillati; Bacillota; Bacilli; Caryophanales; Staphylococcaceae.